UGGCCAGAUGAGUUUCCGUUUCUUUCUUUCACUUCUGUUAUUUUACAUUUUCUCUUCUUGGUAAUAAGUUCUUUUGUCAGUCCUCUACUACUGAAAACUACUUCUAGAAAGGAACAUGAACGCAUCACUUUUUUUACUUUUUCAAACUACACAUCAUACCCACCUGUAAACCCAAACAGAAUUGUGUGGUAUCAGUACGUCUCUAGAGGUUAUCCGUUAGUUUAUGAUCCAAGGAAUCCAAAUGAUGUUAUUUUGAAGUUCAGAGGGAAAACUGAUUUAUAUAGAACACAUAGUUGGGAUUGCAGUCUGCUGAUUAAAAACCUGGAACAGUCCCACCAUGGAGAAAAAUUAUACACAUGGAUUGACCCUGAAAAUGUUGGAAAGAGCACCUACGCAUUUUAUGAUGUCACUUCUACAAUUCAAGUUGAUGCAAGUCCACAGCAGCCCAGCCUCAGUAUUUCUGGAGGUAAAAGGAUAGGUGACACCAACACAGUAGAAUGUUCAACUUUCCACACAUGUCCAUACAGAAAACCAACCAUCACUCUGAAUGGUAUAGAAGGAUCUGAUCAAAUAGACAAUGAGCAUAUUAAAGAUGGCCUGUGGAAAAGCACUCUGACACGCACAGGUGUCGUAAAGAAAGAGCGCUUUACUAUUCAGUGUUCAGUAACACAUUAUGGUGGAACAACUGUCACAGCAACUAAGGACAAAAUUGCAGAAUGUGUUCAUCAAAAAAUAACAAUUAAGCCUGAACUGGCAGAUGUUACAGUUGGCGUUGCAAAGAACUUCACUUGUAGCGUCUACCAUUCCUGCCAGAAAGAGCCAACCAUCACAUGGAACUAUAAGAACAUGCAAAUUACAAAGUGGAGCAAAACACAUUCAGAUUUAAAUCGGGUCACCUACUCUCACAUAACCUUUCUGGGUGCAAAAGAAGACCAUGGGAAGGAAUUGAUUUGCACCGCAAAUUUUUCUGGAGGAAAAAUUACAACCUCUGUUGUUUUACGUGUACAAUGUGUCCAACAUAACAUAUCGAUUGAGCCUGAACUGGCAGAUGUCACCGAGGGCAUCCCAAAGAACUUAACUUGUAGCGUCUACCAUUCCUGCCAGAAUGAGAAUCCAAACAUCACAUGGAACUAUGAGAACAUGCAGGUCACAGAGUGGAGCAAAACACUUUCUACUUUAGAUCAGAUCAGCUAUUCUAGCAUAAGCUUUCUGGGUGCAAAAGAAGACCAUGGCAAGAAAUUGAUAUGUACAGCAAAAUUUUCUGGAAGAGAAAUUACGGCAUCUGUUGUCUUAAAUGUGCAAUACCCAUUGCUCAUUGGACUGAAGACUAUUGGUCUUUACAUCUUAACACCGUCACUUGUGUUCCUUCUGACUUGUAUACUCGCUGGAGUCAUCGUAUACAAAAAGAGACAAAGGUCAAAAGAUGCAGUGUCAGGAAACAAACCUUUCUCCAAUCCUCGAAUGCCGUCACCAAAGAGUUAUCCAAAAUCCUGCCCUGAAAAUGAUUAUGACAAUGAUUAUGAAGCUGAAUACGCCAACAUGGGUGAACUCAGCAUUUAUGGAAAUAUCUGAAGAACAUCAACAUCAAAACAAAAUGGGUUCAAAACAAUGUUUGUAAAAAUAUUAACAAUGUUUGAUUUUAUUGAUAAUAACAAAACAUGUGUCAUGCAUAUCUGCAUCUCUUUUAUAAUUACAGAUGUAUUUAGAUUUGUUAAGCAAACAGCUACUAUGAUUUAUGUUUAUGAAUUAUAUGUUUUAGCUGAUUUAAACAAAACAAAACAAAUAUUACAAAUAAAAAAAUCUACUACUUUUGUUCCUGACUAUUAAAUAUGAUUGAGUCAAUGUUAUGUUCAGACAGUGACAUUCCAAACUGAAAGUGAGGCUGCUUCUUAGAAAUGCAUUAAGGCAUUGAAACCAAAUGUUGUGCAUGUCGUCACCAUCCUGAGAGUACUUUGAACAGUAUGCAGACAGCGCCACCUAGUAGUCAGGAAAUCAUAACAAUUGCGCAUACAGAUACAGCAUAAAUUAAAUAUGGGAUCUGCCAUUGCUUUUUCUGUUUUUAUUUCAUCAUGCCAAUGUCUUACGUUUACAUUAUUAUUUACUCUAGACACGUCAUGAUAUGGGAGCGCACACAUACAGUUUGAACAGAUCAGGUCUAUGUAGCACACAAUUGUUUCAUCUAGUUUCACUCAGUUCAUGUUAUAACCUUUAAAUGUCUUAUAAAGCAGAGUACUUUAUAAAUUACAACAGUGUGAAAUGUAUACUGGGAAAAAAUAUUAUGAUCUUAUCCUACUGGAAGUUUAAGUUUAAAAACAUAAUCCAAUACAAAACAUGUGUCAGACUGUGUAGUCUGUAUUCACUUACAGGCCUACAGAUGUUUACAACCAAACACAAGUUUCCCAUUAGUAAAACAUAAAAUAUGCAUAAAAAAUAAAACAUUAAGUUCUGAUACAUUGGGUUGAAUGAGCAAAUUCUUUCAAGCAUUUUAUUAAAAAAAUAUAAUAAUUAUGUAUACAUUUUAAGUAUUUUUUGUAUUAUUAUUAUUGUAAGUGGUGUUCUUCUGGAUUUUGGUUACGAUAAAAUCAGUUUUGGUUUCGGUUUCGAUUUCCAUAAAGACUGGCUGAGCGCAGUAGACCACCAAGAUAUCGCGAGAUCUCGCUAUCACUAUUCAGCCAUGCCUUUAUUUUCUGACGGAGUUGGAACUGCAUAUCUGCAUAGCAUUUUUCAACCUCUAUAACGUGAUCAGCAGGUUUCGUUCAGGUGCAGGCAGUAACAAAUCCUCUGGUGGAAAUAUACAGAAUCUAUGCAUUUUGGAUUAUAUUUGUGGUAUAAAGAUAAACAGAUAAACAGUGAUGAUGCAGGAUAGGGACUGUCUAAAAAAACCAAGAGCAUAAACGCUCAGUUAUUCCAUCCUGAAGCUUCAUUCUAAUGAAUGAAUAAAUUAAUGAAUUAGGUAAUUAAUUAUGUAAUUAAAUAAUUAAUAAAUAAAACAAGCAAAUAGUGCACACUGAUGACUGCAAAAACACUUUAAAUGUUAGAUGGUGUAACAAUAGCCUAGAUAAUAUAUAUUUUUAAGCAUAAUAACAUACAUUUUGGGAAAAACCCAUAAUAUAUGCACAAUUUAAUGCCAAAUCCAAAAGGAAUGUAAAACUAAAAGCAGUCUUCAAAUGAGCGACAGAGUGGGCGUGGUCCAGAUGUGUCUAGUUCGAAGCUGUCAAUGAUAAUAAUUAUUGGGGAUAGCAUUCUCUUUUAUCUGCCUAAAAAUAUCUAACUGCUAAAUGAGGGGUGCUGUGCAACGUCCCUUUUAUGGCGGUGAGCUGCAGGUUGAGCUUCUUCCUUCUUUGGCUUCUUGAUUGCAGAUUCAGCGAAUAGAUGAUCCUUGUUACUGAAGGAGAAUGAUCUGAUGAAUGGUGCUCCGAGCUGACUUAUAUAGUGUUCAGCUCUGCCCUUUCUGGCUGGCUAAAACACCAUUGGUUUUUGCAGCUGCACAAACGUGAACAAAACAAUCUUCAGUACAUAGUAAAACUCGAGUUUUCCCAAAUGUGUUCCAUGCAACGGGAGAGACCGUUCGAAAGGCAACUACACAUCUUAUGUAGACUGGCUAUAGAGAAACUAAAGUAAUGUACAAUAUGUUGAAUAAUGCAGAUUUCUUUUUUCACCAUAUUAUUUAUUUUUACAAUCACUUUAUUACAAUGUGGAAAAUAUAGCAAGUUCUGAAAUAAGUUGUUGACUGACCUCUGUCUGUUUUUUUUUUAUUAUUAUUACAAUCUUUUUACAUCAAGGGUGACUAUUAUGAGGCUGUUUACAACAACAUGGACAAGUACAAUUUAUAUGAAAAUGUCUGAUGAUAACGAACAAAACAAAAUAUGUCCAGCAGCGUAUUUGUCUGUAGCAUGUAUUGACUUUAUCAAUGUUUUCCAGCAUGUAUGUGUGAGAACAUAAAGAUUAAGGAGAUGGGUCUAUAAACCUAAAUUUAAAUAUUUAAUUAAAUCUUCAUUAAUCCAUUCAGGGCUUUAAGUAAUCAGCAACAUAUUAAAAUGUAUAAGAUGUUUAAUAAGCAACCAAUGCAGUGUUAACAGAACCAAGCUAAUGUCUCAAUAAUUGUAGCUGCUGCAUAUUGGAUUGAGCCGUAGUUUGUUUAUAAAGGGAAACUACUCAGUAAAGCAUUUUAAUUAUCUAGCCUUGAAUUCAUUAAUUUAAUUUACAUUUGACAUUAAAAGCAUUUGUCAUAAUUAAAAACCCCUUUUUUUUUUUGUAAAAUGGAAAUGUGGAUUUACAAUCACUGUAAAGCUUCUUUAAAGCAAUCUGUGUUGAAUUAACUGAAUUGGUUAAGAUUUGUCUUUGCACGUUGAACAGAAAACAUAAUAAAAUUCACAGCAUCACACAUUCUAGUGUAACAGAGGCCAGCUACUAAGAGCAGUGUGGUUAAACCCCACUUCCCUGAUCUCAAGAAGCACACUAGUGACCAAGGCUCGAGGCUGCAGUCUUUAGCAGCCUUGUUAGCGCACCUAACUUCCAUGCCAGAAACGCCUGUACAAAUUAGAUUAUCUCAAUGUGUAUGAAAAGUUCUUAUGAGUCAAACAAGGAUUUUUGUUUUAAUGUUCAAAAUAAAUAUACAGAAGAUUGCAAAAUCUGAAAUAUAGUCAUUUUUUUUCUUUUUUUUUUUUGUAACAUGUAUUGACUUUAUUGAUUGUAUUAAAGUUGUUUCUAUAUGCAUCACAUGCUUUAUAUCACCCAUAACUAAUCUGCAUUUGUUCCAGGCAUUAAUAGACCAAAGUAUGCUGUGGUAUGUGUUGAUGCCAGUAUCUUUUCAUAGCUGUUAACUUCCGCUGCACUCAGAGACAGCAACCAGCACUGCUUGCUUGCACUGACUUUAGAAUUUUGACUGAAUUUGCCAGAGAAGAAACACAACAGUCAAUCACAUUCACCACAUUUCCCUGAUCACCAAAACACAGAUUUCUUUCCAAAAUUUCCAAUACAUUUUUAAUUGACUAUGAUUCUGUUCAAACUUGUUUUUAAAAUAAAGGUCAAAGGUCAGCUACAGUUUAUUCAUAAUAUAAGUGCAUUUCCCCCCAGAAACCAGCAAAUCUGUAGAAUAUGUAGUACUGCAGCAAAAAGUAAAAUUGUGCUGUUGUAUAUAUUACUGCAAAUUUGUUUGUCAUUAACGUUUGAAAGUAUAUUGCUAGUGAAUCAACAGACUGUGAUGAAACCAAAUGUUAUCAGAAAUAAUCAUCUUUGUAAAAAGGAAAAGAAAAUGUCUAAUCCUAUUUGGGCACAAUAAA
This 5282-nucleotide long non-coding RNA is filed under the name Carassius auratus (goldfish). Its description in RNAcentral is "lncRNA (ENSCARG00000004600.1)". The record is from RNAcentral. Lineage: Eukaryota; Metazoa; Chordata; Actinopteri; Cypriniformes; Cyprinidae.